CAGCCGCCGCGGUAAUACGAAGGGGGCUAGCGUUGUUCGGAAUUACUGGGCGUAAAGCGCGCGCAGGCGGCUAUCCAAGUCAGUGGUGAAAGCCCGGAGCUCAACUCCGGAACUGCCAUUGAAACUGUUUAGCUUGAGGACGAGAGAGGUGAGUGGAAUUCCCAGUGUAGAGGUGAAAUUCGUAGAUAUUGGGAAGAACACCGGUGGCGAAGGCGGCUCACUGGCUCGUUUCUGACGCUCAGGCGCGACAGCGUGGGGAUCAAACAGGAUUAGAUACCCCGGUAGUCCCUGUCUCUUAUAC
Molecule: ribosomal RNA, 301 nt
Filed under: uncultured bacterium
Lineage: Bacteria
Description: partial 16S ribosomal RNA
Rfam family: Bacterial small subunit ribosomal RNA
Source: RNAcentral